AUGGCCACCUCCCCCCAGGCUGUGCCCACAGCCCAGCCCUUUCUCCACCUGCCACUCCUCUCCACGGUGGAGAGUGUCACUAUGGAUGAUCUCCCCAGCGGCUGGUGUCUGGAGGCCUCCUCAGUGGAGGAUCAGCAGCACGGGGCAGAGGUCCGCUCUGUCUUCCACUGUCUCAGCAGCUCCGGCUGCCGAAUGGGCAGGCACAGGGAGCCUCGCUGCUGCUGA
This 225-nucleotide long non-coding RNA is filed under the name Homo sapiens (human). RNAcentral's name for it is "non-protein coding lnc-TADA2B-2:1". Lineage: Eukaryota; Metazoa; Chordata; Mammalia; Primates; Hominidae. The record is from RNAcentral.